Long non-coding RNA from Tupaia belangeri chinensis (Chinese tree shrew), 1020 nucleotides. RefSeq lists it as uncharacterized. The record is from RefSeq and is a predicted model, not a curated record. The transcript is spliced from 3 exons. NCBI's taxonomy places the organism in Eukaryota, Metazoa, Chordata, Mammalia, Scandentia, Tupaiidae.
UAAUAAAGGGACGUGGGAGUCAAUGACAUGGCUCUGCAGGUGACUCUCCUCUGGCUACCUGGUUUUACUGCAUAGGUGAGAGAGGGGUCCUGACAUGCCGCAAGAACAGGCCCAAUGCUCUUUUGCACAGGCUUUGAAGGGAAGCCGAGACACCUUUCUAAGAGACCCACACGAGACGUACCUCAAACAAGCCUCAAACCAGCCAACCCCCUCCUCUUGGAAAAGCCUUCCUGAUCUCCUCAGCCUCCUCACAACUGCCAGGUCUAGAACCAGAACCACACAGCGGCCCAAGUGGGAUCCAGCGGCCAUAACUACACACCACUGCCUGGCCAUGUCUGUACUUCUAAAGAAAGCAGCACGCCAGUCCUGGAGCAGCUGCUGCUCCCAGGUCACGGGGUAAGUAGUGUGUGCCCUGGCUUCCGCUGGUCCUGCCAGCCCUCAGUCUGCAGCGUGUCUUGUCCCUUUUUGUGUGCUGGGCUCGUGCCACCUAAGUUUCUUGCUUAGUUCUCUGCUCCAUCUCCUAACGCAGUAACUGGCACCCAGGAGCGGUCCCCCAAAGUAUACGUUAGACAAACGUCUGAAUGGGAAAUAAAGAAGUAGCCCAGCCAACUCGCCCCAGGACCCGAGUCUCCAAUGCUCACCAGCUAUGUUGUGGGAAGCAGAAAUUCCUGUCUGUGUUGGGUGUGGCAGGACACCUGACAGAGAAGCUGGAGAAGUCCACCUGGUACUAGCUCUGGGGUCAUGCCCAUUGACACAAGGCAUCAUAAUCCUGUCCCCUCCUCACUCCAGGGCCAUCAGACCACCCCAAAGAAGGGCUUGGCCAGCCAUACCCCUCCAGGAGCUACUCGCACACCCAGGGAGAUGCUGGCACGGGGUCCAGAUGCACAGUGGGAAGCACAUGCCCACCUCCGCCUGGUGCUUUCCUGGGGCAGAGGCCACAUCUACUCCACUGUCCCCGGAGCCCACUACAGGGCACAAACGUCCUGACGAUGGGAAAUGAGCAGCCCGCAAUAGAGAAAA